AACAGCUGCCCCCUCACCCCCAAAUCUAACACUAAGGUUGACUUUGCACACCUAAACCUACUUCAGCCUAACUGUGCGGAGACGGCCUCACUGCCUCACUUGCCUCACGAGCCUCAGAUGUAAGUUUACGUACUCUUCUCUAGCCUUUCAGAUGGGGCUUGAAGGCACCAACCUACUGCUGCCAUGACAGUAAACCAAGCAGGCUCACUAUCCACAGGGACAGUGACGCUCUCACGGGGGAAUCUGGGAGCCGUCAUCUUCCAGGUUCCCCUGGAUUGGACUAAUAUAAAAAUACCCCAGAGACAGUAUGAUUCAAACCAUUACCCUGAAAGAACUAGUCAGCCCUUUGAUUUUAUAACAAGUUUAUGAAAUUUUAAUCCCCUCAGAACAAAACAGUCUUGUGGUUACUAUCAAAAGUCCCGGCAGAGUGUAGUGAUUUAACCUAACCCCUGAGCUUCACCUGCACACUGAAGUCUUAGUUCUGUAAGCCACGCUUUACAGGGUAUAUAAUACACGAUGGACGCGACACUAGGGAGUGCUUCUCUGUAAUUCCUAUGUCAACAGAAAAAAAAUUCCCUUAGUUUUACAGACAGUAGGAUCAGUUUAUAAUUCUACUACAGGGCAGUUUUUAAAAGUUCUGACAUUUGCUUAGAAUAUCUUACAUUGGCUGAUAAAUAAUAGCGUUCUAAACCAUGGAAACUUAUGAUGAAGACGUGUAAACUCUCACACAUUAGAGCAUCUUGGGAUCAGCACAAGUCAGUGUCCAUGAAAUGGCAGCUGCAGUGGUCCACUGCAAGGGAAGAGUCGAUAACACACCCUUCCGGUAUCUUCUCAGUGAGCACAGCAAGUGUAAAAACCAUGUAAACCCGUUACCCUUGCGAUGACAGUUCCAUUCCAACAUUCAUAUUUACAAGUUUGUUUUUUUUAAAAAAAAUAUACAUGGAAUUCAUGUUAAAGUAUGUUGAAGUUUAAAAGACGGGUAGACUGCAGAGCCUCUGGCAUCCCUGGAGUCCCGGCCCACAGAGACAGAAACCUGCAGCUCAGAGUGGAAAUCGAAGUCGCUGCAUAGAUGAGGGGAACAUGGUGUUGCCUGGAGAGUGAUCUACCCCAGCUGGGCCUCUGAUUUGCCAAGACAGGCAGGGAGGACGGCUACCUUUACCAGGUAAACACAGAAGUUCUGUGUGGGGUGACUCUGAGGAGCGGGAUGGAAGGCAGUGGCACUCGACUUCCGGUGCUGAACUUCACCAGUGCAGGUGACAUCCAUUUUCCACAGAGCAACCCUCUAAACACAGAAUGACCUUGGGGCAAAUUCCUUCAUCUGAAGGUGUCUCUAUAGCCAUUCAAAAGGUUUGCUUUCUCUUUAUUUUAGUUCCUAAUGUUAAACAGAAAGUUUCUGGCAAUAAAGAAUUUCUAAAACA
This 1418-nucleotide long non-coding RNA is filed under the name Rattus norvegicus (Norway rat). RNAcentral describes it as "long non-coding RNA NONRATT002131". Lineage: Eukaryota; Metazoa; Chordata; Mammalia; Rodentia; Muridae. The record is from RNAcentral.